AGAAUGAACGCUGGCGGCAGGCCUAACACAUGCAAGUCGAACGGGUACCUUCGGGUACUAGUGGCGGACGGGUGAGUAACGCGUGGGAACAUACCCUUUGGUACGGAAUAGCCUCGGGAAACUGAGAGUAAUACCGUAUGUGCCCUUCGGGGGAAAGAUUUAUCGCCAAAGGAUUGGCCCGCGUUGGAUUAGGUAGUUGGUGGGGUAAUGGCCUACCAAGCCGACGAUCCAUAGCUGGUUUGAGAGGAUGAUCAGCCACACUGGGACUGAGACACGGCCCAGACUCCUACGGGAGGCAGCAGUGGGGAAUCUUAGACAAUGGGGGAAACCCUGAUCUAGCCAUGCCGCGUGAUCGAUGAAGGCCUUAGGGUUGUAAAGAUCUUUCAGAUGGGAAGAUAAUGACGGUACCAUCAGAAGAGCCCGGCUAACUCCGCGCCAGCAGCCGAC
Molecule: ribosomal RNA, 447 nt
Filed under: uncultured bacterium
Lineage: Bacteria
Description: SSU rRNA
Rfam family: Bacterial small subunit ribosomal RNA
Source: RNAcentral